UACGUAGGGGGCAAGCGUUGUCCGGAUUUAUUGGGCGUAAAGGGCGCGUAGGCGGAUCAGCAAGUCCGGGGUGAAAUCUUUCGGCUCAACCGGAAAAGUGCCUUGGAUACUGCUGGUCUUGAGGGAGGUAGGGGCAUGUGGAACUUCCGGUGGAGCGGUGAAAUGCGUAGAGAUGUGGAGGAACACCAGUGGCGAAGGCGACUCUUUGGCCUGUAACUGACACUGAGGCGCGAAAGCGUGGGGAGCAAACAGG
RNAcentral lists this ribosomal RNA (253 nucleotides) under uncultured bacterium. RNAcentral describes it as "partial 16S ribosomal RNA". It matches the Rfam family "Bacterial small subunit ribosomal RNA", at positions 524 to 776 of the family's 1533-position model. The record is from RNAcentral.